RNAcentral lists this transfer RNA (358 nucleotides) under uncultured Microcystis sp. RNAcentral's name for it is "partial 16S-23S ribosomal RNA intergenic spacer". The stretch from base 135 to 208 matches the Rfam family "tRNA". Lineage: Bacteria; Bacillati; Cyanobacteriota; Cyanophyceae; Chroococcales; Microcystaceae. The record is from RNAcentral.
AAGGGAGACCUAAUUCCGGUAGGAGACGAAAAAAAAGUAGUCCCUACCAAGAAUCAAUCCCAAAAGGUCGAAGCGAGGCAAGACUGGCUUUCAAACUAGGUUCUGGGUUCAAACAAGACCUGAAUCAGGAACAAGGGCUAUUAGCUCAGGUGGUUAGAGCGCACCCCUGAUAAGGGUGAGGUCCCUGGUUCGAGUCCAGGAUGGCCCACCUGCACAGGUGGCAAAAACAAAGAAGCGAGGAAUCAGCACCUUAUCUUACUCACAUAGUAAGAGAGAAUGCUGGCUCUGAGUAAAGAGUCCAGAGGAACCUUGAAAACUGCAUAGAGCUAGGUGAAAAAGCCAAAAAAGAAGACCGCAA